CCCUUAGAUGUUCUGGGCCGCACGCGCGCUACACUGACGAUGUCAACGAGUCUCUCCUUCGCCGAAAGGCGCGGGUAAUCUUCUGAAACAUCGUCGUGCUGGGGAUAGAUCAUUGCAAUUCUUGAUCUUGAACGAGGAAUUCCUAGUAAGCGCGAGUCAUCAGCUCGCGUUGAUUACGUCCCUGCCCUUUGUACACACCGCCCGUCGCUACUACCGAUUGAAUGGUUUAGUGAGGACUCCUGAUUGGCGCCGCCGCGCCGGCAACGGAGCAGCGGACUGCCGAAAAGUUGUUCAAACUUGAUCAUUUAGAGGAAGUAAAAGUCGUANCA
RNAcentral lists this ribosomal RNA (329 nucleotides) under uncultured eukaryote. RNAcentral describes it as "partial 18S ribosomal RNA". It matches the Rfam family "Eukaryotic small subunit ribosomal RNA", at positions 1470 to 1796 of the family's 1831-position model. The record is from RNAcentral.